GUUUAUGGCUGCACCACCCUGAACACGCCCAGUCUCCUCUGAUGUCAGAAGCUAAGCAGGGUCAGGCCCAGUUAGUACUUGUUGUGGGGGAGGGAGAAGAAAAAGAGAGAGAGGAGACAGGAGUGCUAACUU
This 132-nucleotide ribosomal RNA is filed under the name Jaculus jaculus (lesser Egyptian jerboa). The record is from RNAcentral. Lineage: Eukaryota; Metazoa; Chordata; Mammalia; Rodentia; Dipodidae.